UCGAGUAUGGUGUAACGGCUAACAUUACCGCCUUUCAGAAUCGGCUGGUUCUAUGUUAACGCGGUAGCUCGGGGUUCGAUUCCCCGUACUCGAA
Molecule: transfer RNA, 94 nt
Filed under: Laccaria amethystina LaAM-08-1
Lineage: Eukaryota; Fungi; Basidiomycota; Agaricomycetes; Agaricales; Hydnangiaceae
Rfam family: tRNA
About the family: Transfer RNA (tRNA) molecules are approximately 80 nucleotides in length.
Source: Rfam by way of RNAcentral